This 254-nucleotide ribosomal RNA is filed under the name uncultured bacterium. RNAcentral's name for it is "partial 16S ribosomal RNA". It matches the Rfam family "Bacterial small subunit ribosomal RNA", at positions 524 to 776 of the family's 1533-position model. The record is from RNAcentral.
UACGUAGGGUGCGAGCGUUGUCCGGAAUUAUUGGGCGUAAAGAGCUCGUAGGCGGUCUGUCGCGUCGGUCGUGAAAACCUGCAGCUUAACUGUGGGCGUGCGGUCGAUACGGGCAUGACUGGAGUUCGGCAGGGGAGACUGGAAUUCCUGGUGUAGCGGUGAAAUGCGCAGAUAUCAGGAGGAACACCGGUGGCGAAGGCGGGUCUCUGGGCAGUAACUGACGCUGAGGAGCGAAGGCGUGGGGAGCGAACAGG